UCCGGAUUUAUUGGGCGUAAAGCGAGCGCAGGCGNUUAGAUAAGUCUGAAGUUAAAGGCUGUGGCUUAACCAUAGUACGCUUUGGAAACUGUUUAACUUGAGUGCAGAAGGGGAGAGUGGAAUUCCAUGUGUAGCGGUGAAAUGCGUGGAUAUAUGGAGGAACACCGGUGGCGAAAGCGGCUCUCUGGUCUGUAACUGACGCUGAGGCUCGAAAGCGUGGGGAGCGAACAGGAUUAGAUACCCUGGUAGUCCACGCCGUAAACGAUGAGUGCUAGGUGUUAGGCCCUUUCCGGGGCUUAGUGCCGCAGCUAACGCAUUAAGCACUCCGCCUGGGGAGUACGACCGCAAGGUUGAAACUCAAAGGAAUUGACGGGGGCCCGCACAAGCGGUGGAGCAUGUGGUUUAAUUCGAAGCAACGCGAAGAACCUUACCAGGUCUUGACAUCCCGAUGCCCGCUCUAGAGAUAGAGUUUUACUUCGGUACAUCGGUGACAGGUGGUGCAUGGUUGUCGUCAGCUCGUGUCGUGAGAUGUUGGGUUAAGUCCCGCAACGAGCGCAACCCUUAUUGUUAGUUGCCAUCAUUCAGUUGGGCACUCUAGCGAGACUGCCGGUAAUAAACCGGAGGAAGGUGGGGAUGACGUCAAAUCAUCAUGCCCCUUAUGACCUGGGCUACACACGUGCUACAAUGGCUGGUACAACGAGUCGCAAGUCGGUGACGGCAAGCUAAUCUCAUAAAGCCAGUCUCAGUUCGGAUUGUAGGCUGCAACUCGCCUACAUGAAGUCGGAAUCGCUAGUAAUCGCGGAUCAGCACGCCGCGGUGAAUACGUUCCCGGGCCUUGUACACACCGCCCGUCACACCACGAGAGUUUGUAACACCCGAAGUCGGUGAGGUANCCUUUUAGGA
RNAcentral lists this ribosomal RNA (903 nucleotides) under uncultured bacterium. RNAcentral's name for it is "bacterial SSU rRNA". It matches the Rfam family "Bacterial small subunit ribosomal RNA", at positions 544 to 1447 of the family's 1533-position model. The record is from RNAcentral.